Molecule: ribosomal RNA, 257 nt
Filed under: uncultured bacterium
Lineage: Bacteria
Description: partial 16S ribosomal RNA
Rfam family: Bacterial small subunit ribosomal RNA
Source: RNAcentral
ACUCCUACGGGAGGCAGCAGUGGGGAAUAUUGCACAAUGGGCGCAAGCCUGAUGCAGCGACGCCGCGUGGGGAUGGACGGCCUCGGGCUUGGUAAACUCCUUUCGCUAGGGACGAAGCUUUUGUGACGGUACCUAGAUAAGAAGCACCGGCUAACUACGUGCCAGCAGCCGCGGUAAUACGUAGGGUGCGAGCGUUGUCCGGAAUUACUGGGCGUAAAGGGCUCGUAGGUGGUUUGUCGCGUCGUCUGUGAAAUUCC